UACCAGCUCUCCGAGUGGUGUGGAUGUUUAUUGGGCCUAAAGCAUCCGUAGCUGGCUGGGCAAGUCCCCUGUUAAAUCCACCGAUUUAAUCGUUGGUGUGCGGGGGAUACUGUUCGGCUAGGGGACGGGAGAGGUCGACGGUAUUUUCGGGGUAGGGGUGAAAUUCUAUAAUCCCGGGAAGACCACCAGUGGCGAAGGCUGUCGGCUAGAACGCGCCCGACGGUGAGGGAUGAAAGCUGGGGGAGCGAACCGGAUUAGAUACCCGGGUAGUCCCAGCUGUAAACGAUGCAGGCUAGGUGUUUGGGCGGCCACGUGCCGCUCUAGUGCCGCAGAGAAGUUGUUAAAGCCCACGCCUGGGAAGUACGGUCGCAAGGCUGAAACUUAAAGGAAUUGGCGGGGAGCACCACAAGGCGUGAAGCUUGCGGUUC
This 428-nucleotide ribosomal RNA is filed under the name uncultured archaeon. RNAcentral's name for it is "bacterial SSU rRNA". It matches the Rfam family "Archaeal small subunit ribosomal RNA", at positions 474 to 903 of the family's 1478-position model. The record is from RNAcentral.